GACAUGACAUGGUGACAUGGAAGGGCCACCAUGGAGGACACCAGGAACAUGGCAAGGGGACAGGGAGAAGCCACCAUGGGGAUGACAUGGGGACAGGGAGGGGCCACCAUGGAUGACACCUUGGUGAUGACAUGGAAACAUGGACAGGCCACCAUGGCGGACAUCAUGGAGGACAUGGAGGGGCCACCAUGGACAUGACAAGGGACAUGAAAGGGCCACCAUGGAGGACACCAGGGACAUGACACGAGGACAUGGGAGGGGCCACCAUGAGGAUGAUGACAUGGGGACAUGGAGGGGCCACCACUGUCCCCACCUGUCCCCGCCUGUUCCCGUUUGUCCCCAUCUGUCCCCGUUUGUCCCCAUUUGCCCCAUCUGUCCCGGUUUCUCCACAAUUGUCCCAGUCUGUCCCCCUUUGUCCCUUUCUGACCCUGUCUAUCCCCGUUUGUCCCCAUUUGUCCCAGUUUGUCCCCUUCUGUCCCCGUUUCUCCCCGUCUGUCCCCAUUUGUCCCUGUCUGUUCCCUUCUGUCCCUGUUUCACCCUGUCUGUCCCCGUUUGUCCCCAUUUGUCCCCAUUUGUCCCCGUCUGUCCCUGUCUAUCCCCAUUUGUCCCCGUUUCUCCCCAUCUGUCCCCGUUUGUGCCCAUCUGUUCCCGUCUGUCCCUGUUUGUCGCCAUUUGCCCGGUUUGUCGCAUUUGUCCCCAUUUGUCCCCUUCUGUCCCCGUCUGUCCCCAUUUGCCCGGUUUGUCCCCAUUUGUCCCCAUCUGUCCCCACUGGUACCAGGCAGGUGCCGUAGCCGGGGGGCAGCCGGGGGGGGUCCCUGAGCAGGAGCCCCCCCAGAGCCGCCGCCCCCGCCAGGGUCUGGAGCAGCGCCGGGGCCAGGGUGGGGGGCGCGGGGGGGGACAGCAGCGCCACCACCCCCCCGGACAGCACCUGAGGGGACACAGAGGGGACACACGGGGUCAUGGUGGGGACAGCAGUGCCACCACCCCCCCGGACAGCACCUGGGGACAGA
Molecule: long non-coding RNA, 1010 nt
Filed under: Junco hyemalis (dark-eyed junco)
Lineage: Eukaryota; Metazoa; Chordata; Aves; Passeriformes; Passerellidae
Description: lncRNA (ENSJHYG00000015811.1)
Source: RNAcentral